CUGUCGACCCGUUUUUGCCCCUGUUUUUUGAGCCAGCCUGAACCCCGUUGGAUUUGUCUGCCCGCCUGAGUUCUGUUCUUCAGCCUCAGUGUUUUGGACUGCCUCCCUGUGUUUGGGACCCUGCCAGCCUGUAAGUUUCUGAGAUUGCCUACUCUUUGAUAAUUGUGAUUCUGGAUUUGGAUUUGAACCUGGACCUGGACCCGUCUCUGGAUUCUCCCUCGGAAACCUCUGCUGGAUUAAACGGACAUCCCUCCCGUAAAAGAACCGGACCGGACCUGGACAAAGAACUGGAUAGCCCCUUCACGGACCCUACUGCUUCCUGGAAACCAGACGCUGCUAAAACAAGCCGUCCUCGUGCCCCAGGAACCGCCAGAGGCUGUGUGCUGCCGCACAAACCAGGGGGGUCCGCGCCGCCACCAUCUUUAAUAAACUGUUAAAGUUUUA
Fundulus heteroclitus (mummichog) is the source of this 444-nucleotide long non-coding RNA. RefSeq lists it as uncharacterized. The transcript is spliced from 2 exons. NCBI's taxonomy places the organism in Eukaryota, Metazoa, Chordata, Actinopteri, Cyprinodontiformes, Fundulidae. The record is from RefSeq and is a predicted model, not a curated record.